ACGUGACAGACCCUUCCCUUGAGGGAUCUUCGCGCAGGGACUGCACGAACGGGUCCCUGAGGUUGGUUUCGCUCCUUUCAGCUGAUUGGCUGUUGCUUGGUUUAGGUGCAAAAUUUGAAUUCAGCAGACUAAACCAAUCAAUCGUGUGGAACUAUUUUCAGUUAUGUACAGAGCACCAAGGCCAGACUUCAUAUGAUGGUUUCUCUGACUCUGUACAUCUGAUAGUCCCGCAAUUUGCAG
This is a non-coding RNA of Pelobates cultripes (western spadefoot toad), 240 nucleotides long. NCBI's taxonomy places the organism in Eukaryota, Metazoa, Chordata, Amphibia, Anura, Pelobatidae. The record is from the annotation of a GenBank genome assembly.